RNAcentral lists this ribosomal RNA (351 nucleotides) under Triticum aestivum (bread wheat). Its description in RNAcentral is "partial small subunit ribosomal RNA". The record is from RNAcentral. Lineage: Eukaryota; Viridiplantae; Streptophyta; Magnoliopsida; Poales; Poaceae.
AUGUCAGUAUCAAGGAAAAUGAAAUGCCAAAAAAUAAGUCUUUGGGUAUCGGAAAACCAUGACAACUUCACUAAUUUGUCUAGUCCACUAAUUUGUGUUGAGGAAGCAAGUGCACACCCGUACAAAUGCAUUAUUGUUACAUGUAUUUUACCGGUACCGCAAAAAUCUAAACUAUGUACGACUACUCACUUUAAAAGAUCUCAUAUUAAUCCUGGUCUUGGCCAUUUGUGGGAACACGAUUUAGGAUAUUUCAUAUCCUAUAAGUUUACAACAAAUGAAUCUCAUAUUUUGUUUUUUAAUAACCAACAAAGAUUACACUUAUAUCUGAUCAUGCAUGGGGCUCAUAAUUGA